Non-coding RNA from Alligator sinensis (Chinese alligator), 527 nucleotides. The record is from the annotation of a RefSeq genome assembly. Lineage: Eukaryota; Metazoa; Chordata; Crocodylia; Alligatoridae.
AGCAGGGGGACACGUGGUCUGGCACUGCCCAUCAGUCUCUCUUCAGCCCCAGCGAGAAGAUGACAUCUUGGGAGAAGUUUAUGUUCCUCCUGGCAGCUCUGCCAUGUGCCUGGUCCCAGGUGCAGCUGGUGGAGUCCGGAGGGGGAGUUCAGAAGCCCGGGGGGUCUCUGCGCCUCUCCUGCAAAGCCUCGGGAUUCACCUUCAGCAACUUCUACAUGGACUGGGCUCGCCAGGCUCCUGGGAAGGGCCUGGAGUGGGUUGCAGUGAUUCGCAACCCAAGUAAUGGUCUCACAGCAGAGUACAACAGCGCUGUUAAGGGACGAUUCACCAUCUCCAGGGUGGAGUCCAGCAGCACUGUAUACCUGCAGAUGGAUAGCCUGAAAGUCGAGGACACAGCUCAGUAUUACUGUGCCAGACACACAGUGAUUUCAAACCUCCUGGGCUUCAUACAAAAACCUUGCACAGCUGUGGGCUGUUCAGGCCAGCAGAGAGCAGCAGACACUAUCUUACCAACACUAACAGGCUGA